Crotalus tigris (Tiger rattlesnake) is the source of this 381-nucleotide long non-coding RNA. RefSeq lists it as uncharacterized. The transcript has 3 exons. Lineage: Eukaryota; Metazoa; Chordata; Lepidosauria; Squamata; Viperidae. The record is from RefSeq and is a predicted model, not a curated record.
AAACAACCGCUUCCUUUUGAUCCCGAGAACAAAAAUUAGGAGGAAGCAUCGGGGAGUAAAAAAAGCAAGGAAGUAGACGUGGAUGUCAGACCGCCAAGGUGAAGCAGAGAGGAGACAAGACCAGAACAGCUAGGAAGAGCUUCCCCUUCUCUAAUGAAUUGUGGAGAUCAAUCAGAGGCUGACCUUUUGUUUAUCAGCUGAUUUGCUUCUCUCUUUCAAGAAUGCAAGCUUGGUUCUGUGCGAGGUUAUCUUACCCGGGGAAUAAAGGAGGCAAACCGCAAGCAGCAGCAAUUAUAAUCAAGAUUAUAAGGAAAACAAUGUGAAGCCUGAUUCGGGGAAGAAAAGCUACAGUUUAAAAGACGCUGAAAACUUUGAAGAAAC